AGUGAACGCUGGCGGUAGGCCUAACACAUGCAGGUCGAACGGCAGCACAGUAAGAGCUUGCUCUUACGGGUGGCGAGUGGCGGACGGGUGAGGAAUACAUCGGAAUCUACUUUUUCGUGGGGGAUAACGUAGGGAAACUUACGCUAAUACCGCAUACGACCUACGGGUGAAAGCAGGGGAUCUUCGGACCUUGCGCGAUUGAAUGAGCCGAUGCCGGAUUAGCUAGUUGGCGGGGUAAAGGCCCACCAAGGCGACGAUCCGUAGCUGGUCUGAGAGGAUGAUCAGCCACACUGGAACUGAGACACGGUCCAGACUCCUACGGGAGGCAGCAGUGGGGAAUAUUGGACAAUGGGCGCAAGCCUGAUCCAGCCAUACCGCGUGGGUGAAGAAGGCCUUCGGGUUGUAAAGCCCUUUUGUUGGGAAAGAAAAGCAGCAGGUUAAUACCCCGCUGUUCUGACGGUACCCAAAGAAUAAGCACCGGCUAACUUCGUG
This 492-nucleotide ribosomal RNA is filed under the name uncultured bacterium. RNAcentral's name for it is "partial 16S ribosomal RNA". It matches the Rfam family "Bacterial small subunit ribosomal RNA", at positions 29 to 507 of the family's 1533-position model. The record is from RNAcentral.